CUGCUGCCCGGUUCCGCCCCGGUGGCCGUCCGUCCGUAUCGCUACCCGGCCGCGCACAAGGACGAGCUGGAGCGUCAGUGCGCCGCCAUGCUCGCCCAGGGCAUCAUCCGAGCGAGUUGUUCCGCAUUCUCGUCCUCAGUACUGCUGGUCCGCAAGGCCGACGGGUCCUGGCGCUUCUGCAUCGACUACCGCGCCCUAAACGCCAUUACUGUCAAGAAUGCGUUUCCGAUCCCGGUGGUGGACGAACUCCUCGACGAGCUCCGGCACGCUCGUUUCUUCACCAAGCUCGACUUGCGCUCCGGCUACCACCAGGUGCGGAUGCGUGCGGAGGACAUCCCGAAGACCGCCUUCCGUACUCAUGAUGGCCUCUACGAGUUCCUGGUGAUGCCGUUCGGCCUCUGCAACGCGCCGGCAACGUUCCAGGCCCUCAUGAACGAUCUGCUGCGGCCGUACCUGCGCCGUUUUGUUCUCGUCUUCUUUGACGACAUCCUCAUUUUCAGCGAGACAUGGGCUGACCAUCUCCGACAUGUGCGCACCGUCUUCACCGUCCUGCACCAGCACCGACUCUUCGUCAAGCGAUCCAAAUGC
RNAcentral lists this ribosomal RNA (588 nucleotides) under Triticum aestivum (bread wheat). RNAcentral's name for it is "partial small subunit ribosomal RNA". Lineage: Eukaryota; Viridiplantae; Streptophyta; Magnoliopsida; Poales; Poaceae. The record is from RNAcentral.